UACAGAGGUCUCAAGCGUUGUUCGGAUUCAUUGGGCGUAAAGGGCGCGUAGGCGGCGCGACAAGUCAGGCGUGAAAGCCCCGGGCUCAACCCGGGAAUUGCGCUUGAUACUGUCGUGCUUGAGGCCGGGAGAGGAUGGCGGAAUUCCCAGUGUAGAGGUGAAAUUCGUAGAUAUUGGGAAGAACACCGGUGGCGAAGGCGGCCAUCUGGACCGGUUCUGACGCUGAGGCGCGAAAGCGUGGGGAGCAAACAGG
Molecule: ribosomal RNA, 253 nt
Filed under: uncultured bacterium
Lineage: Bacteria
Description: partial 16S ribosomal RNA
Rfam family: Bacterial small subunit ribosomal RNA
Source: RNAcentral